GCCGGGUGCGUUGCAUGUGCCUGUAAUCCAAGUCACUGGGAGGCUGAGGUUGGUGGACCAAGUGAGCUGAGGAGCUCUGGGCUGCAGCACGCUAUGUCGAACGGGUGUCCACGCCAAGUUCGGUAUCGAUAGGGUGUUCCUGGGGGAGCCCGGGACCACCAGGUUGUCUAAGGAGGGGUGAACCGGCCCAGGUCGGAAACGAAGCAGGUCAAAUCCCCCGUGCUGUCCAGUAGUGGGAUAAUACCUGUGAGUAGAUGCUGCAGUGCAGCCUUGGCAAAACAUUGAGACCUAGUCUUUU
RNAcentral lists this signal recognition particle RNA (298 nucleotides) under Oncorhynchus mykiss (rainbow trout). RNAcentral's name for it is "Metazoan signal recognition particle RNA (ENSOMYG00000058814.1)". It matches the Rfam family "Metazoan signal recognition particle RNA". From Rfam's summary of the family: The signal recognition particle (SRP) is a universally conserved ribonucleoprotein. It is involved in the co-translational targeting of proteins to membranes. Lineage: Eukaryota; Metazoa; Chordata; Actinopteri; Salmoniformes; Salmonidae. The record is from RNAcentral.